GUGAGUAGCUGGAUUACUCGCUGUCUCUCUCUCUCUACAAUCUGUUUGUGUUCUAAGUGGUGAAGACCUAGAGGAGGAGGAGGUGAAGACCUAGAGGAGGUGAAGACCUAGAGGAGGAGGAGACCAGGCAGAGGAGGAGGAGACCAGGCGGAGGAGGAAGAGACCAGGAGGAGGAGGAGGAGGUGAAGACCAGGAGGAGGAGUAGGAGACCAGGAGGAGGAGGUGAAGACCAGGAGGAGACCAGGAGGAGGAGGUGAAGACCAGGAGGAGGAGGUGGUGAAGACCAGGAGCAGGAGGUGGUGAAGACCAGGAGGAGGAGUAGGAGACCAGGAGGAGGAGGAGGUGAAGACCAGGAGGAGACCAGGAGGAGGAGGAGGUGAAGACCAGGAGGAGGAGGUGGUGAAGACCAGGAGGAGGAGAUCAGGAGGAGGAGGGGGUGAAGACCAGGAGAAGGAGGUGGUGAAGACCAGGAGGAGGAGGUGAAGACCAGGAGGAGGAGGUGGUGAAGAACAGGAGGAGGUGGAGACCAGGAGGAGGAGAACAGGAGGAGGAGGAGGAGACCAGGAGGAGGAGGUGAAGACCAGGAGGAGACCAGGAGGAGGGGGUGAAGACCAGGAGGAGGAGGUGGUGAAGACCAGGAGGAGGAG
Oncorhynchus tshawytscha (Chinook salmon) is the source of this 647-nucleotide long non-coding RNA. Lineage: Eukaryota; Metazoa; Chordata; Actinopteri; Salmoniformes; Salmonidae. The record is from Ensembl.